AUUGAACGCUGGCGGCAUGCCUUACACAUGCAAGUCGAACGGCAGCACAGCAGAGCUUGCUCUGUGGGUGGCGAGUGGCGGACGGGUGAGGAAUACAUGGGAAUCUGCCCAGUCGUGGGGGAUAACGUAUGGAAACGUACGCUAAUACCGCAUGCGCCCUACGGGGGAAAGCCGGGGACCGCAAGGCCUGGCGCGAUUGGAUGAGCCCAUGUUCGAUUAGCUAGUUGGCGGGGUAAAGGCCCACCAAGGCGACGAUCGAUAGCUGGUCUGAGAGGAUGAUCAGCCACACUGGAACUGAGACACGGUCCAGACUCCUACGGGAGGCAGCAGUAGGGAAUAUUGGACAAUGGGGGCAACCCUGAUCCAGCCAUGCCGCGUGAGUGAAGAAGGCCCUCGGGUUGUAAAGCUCUUUUGUCCGGAAAGAAAAGCAAUCGGUUAAUACCCGGUUGUCCCUGACGGUACCGGAAGAAUAAGCA
RNAcentral lists this ribosomal RNA (476 nucleotides) under uncultured bacterium. Its description in RNAcentral is "bacterial SSU rRNA". It matches the Rfam family "Bacterial small subunit ribosomal RNA", at positions 30 to 492 of the family's 1533-position model. The record is from RNAcentral.